RNAcentral lists this ribosomal RNA (2457 nucleotides) under Triticum aestivum (bread wheat). RNAcentral describes it as "partial small subunit ribosomal RNA". Lineage: Eukaryota; Viridiplantae; Streptophyta; Magnoliopsida; Poales; Poaceae. The record is from RNAcentral.
AUGCAGCAGCAGCAAGGUCUCGACAUACAAAAUCUGCAGCGGGAGGUGAAGACGCGGUGGCUCAAGCCCAGAGAGGUUCUGGACAUAUUGCGGAACUGCGAGCUGUUCGGGAUCCAAAACAGAACCCCUCAGAGGCCACCGAGUGGUUCUUGGUUCCUUUUCAACCGUAGGGUACAUCGGUUCUUCCGGAAUGAUGGGUAUCAAUGGCAAAAAAAGAGGAAUGGGAAGAGUGGUAACGAAGCACAUGAGUACCUUAAGGUUAACAAUGUAAAGGCACUGAACUGCUAUUAUGCUCGUGCAGAAAAUAGCCCUACAUUCAUGAGGCGGAUAUAUUGGAUGCUUGAACCGGCUUAUGAGCACAUUGUUCUUGUCCACUAUAGAGAUGUGCUAGAGGGCAGCAUUUCAGUAUCAGCACUAAACGGUUCACCAACAUCCUAUCAGAAUGGCAGUGCUAGCAGAGCGGAUGCACAUAGUUCGCCGGGGUUGACAAGUGAGAUAAUUGCGCCACGUCUCCUCUCUCGCAGCCCAGGAUCCGCGGAAGAAGUUAGUUCCCAGAUCCUGACCAUAAACAAUGAAUCAAAUGAUACAAGUCAAUUUGAUUGGCGGCGGAUGCUUGAAAUGCAGUUGAGUCUGGAAAACAAGGAACGUCAUGAUGUUAACACUGGCGAGGUUCUGCCAAAUCAUGAUCCUAAUCCUAUGCCUGGGAUCCAGAAUGAAGAAUUCGACACAGGUACAAACCUUGCAGAUAUCUUUUAUGAACUGGAGGAGUUUAGUGAAGACAACCGUACUGAAGGAAGCCAACCUUAUCGCGAUCCUAUUGAUGUCAUAAGAAAUUCAGCUCCUGUGACAGUUGAUGAAAACCAAUGGUUCCAUAUUCAUGAGGUUUCUCCAGAAUGGGCAUUUUGUUCUGAAAGUGCUAAGGUUGUCAUUGCAGGAGACUUCCCCUCCAAUAUUUUAUGGGUACUAUUUGGUGAUGUUAAGGUACCUGCGGAAAUUGUCCAGCAAGGUGUCAUCCGUUGUUAUACUCCAUCAUACCUUGGUGCUGGAAAGGUGAGAAUGUGCAUGCUCGAUGAGAAUGGGAAACCUUGCACUCAAGAUCGAGAAUUUGGAUUUGUUGAAAAGCCUACCAACACAAUGAUUAUUGGGAACGGGAAACCCUACAGUGAAGCACGGGAAUUUGAAUUCCAACAGAGGCCUACCAAAAGUGACAAUGAGCUGUUGUUGCUUCUUAACUAUGUGCAGAUGCUUUUUGAUAGUCAUGGCUGUGAACUCUUCUCAAAGUUCAGGUUGCCACUCCCAAAUGUCCAGUCUGGAUUCCCAGUUAACCCCUCAGAGAUUAUAGGGAGAACAUGUGAGCAGUUGGACCAUGAGAAUGCAGUAAAUUGCAUCAUGGAAGUGAUGCUUAACAGUAAGUUCGAGGACUGGCUAUCAUCCAAAUUUGAACAGAACAGUGAAGGGGAGUAUUUGCUUCCUAAGCAAUACCAUGGUGUUAUACAUACAAUUGCCGCACUGGGAUACGACUGGGCUCUGAAACCGCUGCUUAAUAAUGGCGUGCCUAUAAACUACCGUGAUGCAAAUGGAUGGACUGCUCUGCAUUGGGCUGCACGAUUCGGAAGGCAACAAAUGGUGGCGGUUCUUUUUGCUGCAGGCGCUGCUGUGGGUGCACUUUCAGAUCCAACAGCGGAAGACCCUGCUGCCAAGACACCUGCUUCAAUAGCGUCUGCAUAUGGUUUCAUAGGCAUCUCUGCAUUCCUUUCAGAAGCAGAACUAACCAGUACCCUUCAUUCUCUGGAAUCACAAGAAAAUGGGAAACCCGUAGAUCAUAAUGGUGGAGUGAGUACAUCUAGUGCUGUGGAUAGAGUAUCAGAUAAAUGCGCACAUGUGGAUGGUGGAACUGAUGACCAGCUUGCACUGAGGGAUUCUUUAGGAGCUAUCCGAAAUGCUGUUCAAGCUGCCGGGUGCAUACAAGCUACCUUCCGUGUGUUUUCCUUAAAAAAGAAGAAACAAAAGGCUCUUCAGAAUGGAGAUAGCUCUGCUUCGCCAUCUAUGCUCGAAAGAGCUGCAUUAUCUAUCCAGAAGAACUUCAGGUGCUGGAAGAAACGUAAGGAAUAUCAGAAAGUUCGGAAAAAUGUCAUCAAGAUUCAGGCACGGUUCAGAGCUCACCGAGAAAGAAACAAGUACAAGGAGUUACUUCAAAGUGUUGGCAUCCUUGAGAAGAUCAUGCUGAGGUGGUUCCGAAAAGGUGUUGGUCUGCGAGGAAUCAAUAGCAGGGCGAUGCCAAUCGACCAAGACGAGGAAGAAGACAUCGUCAAGGUUUUCCGCAAGGAAAGAGUGGAAACAGCUGUCAGUGAGGCUGUUUCGAGGGUAUCGGCUAUCGUCGGUUGCCCCGUCGCAAGGCUGGACUACCGCAGGAUGCUCGAAUGGCACCAACAAGCAAAGAUUGGCCAUGGAAAGUAG